RNAcentral lists this ribosomal RNA (253 nucleotides) under uncultured bacterium. RNAcentral's name for it is "partial 16S ribosomal RNA". It matches the Rfam family "Bacterial small subunit ribosomal RNA", at positions 524 to 776 of the family's 1533-position model. The record is from RNAcentral.
UACAGAGGAUGCAAGCGUUAUCCGGAAUGAUUGGGCGUAAAGCGUCUGUAGGUGGCUUUUUAAGUCCGCCGUCAAAUCCCAGGGCUCAACUCUGGACAGGCGGUGGAAACUACCAAGCUGGAGUACGGUAGGGGCAGAGGGAAUUUCCGGUGGAGCGGUGAAAUGCGUAGAGAUCCGGAGGAACACCGAAGGCGAAGGCAGUCUCCUGGCAAGUUACUGACGCUCAGGUGCGAAAGCUAGGGGAGCGAACAGG